GAGAGCUGCACUGAGAACAUCAGGCUGUGCUCCGAGGCACACACAGCUUGGAUGUGCUGCAGCACAAAAGCAUUUAACAUCUCCCACAUAGCAGGCACAGCUGGCACUUGAGAUAACAAGUCCAAGGAUGAAAGUGGUGGUGGAACAACCCACAGACCCUCUGUCCUUCCCACACAGCAGUCACACUGGGGGAUCAAUGCUGCCCCAUUGCCACUUGCUCUACUGGGUGUUGGAGGAGGAAGAAUUAAAACCUUUUCUGGGGAGUCUUUGCUCUGGGGAGCCACAUAACAGUAGUGAGAAAGACUUGAGAGCAGUUCCUGUUUCCUAAUGCACUUCGAAGAAUGAACAAAUCUUGUAAACCAUAA
RNAcentral lists this long non-coding RNA (365 nucleotides) under Gallus gallus (chicken). Lineage: Eukaryota; Metazoa; Chordata; Aves; Galliformes; Phasianidae. The record is from RNAcentral.